CUGGAGGUAUCAGAAGUGCGAAUGCUGACAUAAGUAACGAUAAAGCGGGUGAAAAGCCCGCUCGCCGGAAGACCAAGGGUUCCUGUCCAACGUUAAUCGGGGCAGGGUGAGUCGACCCCUAAGGCGAGGCCGAAAGGCGUAGUCGAUGGGAAACAGGUUAAUAUUCCUGUACUUGGUGUUACUGCGAAGGGGGGACGGAGAAGGCUAUGUUGGCCGGGCGACGGUUGUCCCGGUUUAAGCGUGUAGGCUGGUUUUCCAGGCAAAUCCGGAAAAUCAAGGCUGAGGCGUGAUGACGAGGCACUACGGUGCUGAAGCAACAAAUGCCCUGCUUCCAGGAAAAGCCUCUAAGCAUCAGGUAACAUCAAAUCGUACCCCAAACCGACACAGGUGGUCAGGUAGAGAAUACCAAGGCGCUUGAGAGAACUCGGGUGAAGGAACUAGGCAAAAUGGUGCCGUAACUUCGGGAGAAGGCACGCUGAUAUGUAGGUGAAGUCCCUUGCGGAUGGAGCUGAAAUCAGUCGAAGAUACCAGCUGGCUGCAACUGUUUAUUAAAAACACAGCACUGUGCAAACACGAAAGUGGACGUAUACGGUGUGACGCCUGCCCGGUGCCGGAAGGUUAAUUGAUGGGGUCAGCGCAAGCGAAGCUCUUGAUCGAAGCCCCGGUAAAC
RNAcentral lists this ribosomal RNA (670 nucleotides) under Escherichia coli. Its description in RNAcentral is "partial 23S ribosomal RNA". It matches the Rfam family "Bacterial large subunit ribosomal RNA", at positions 1273 to 1928 of the family's 2925-position model. Lineage: Bacteria; Pseudomonadati; Pseudomonadota; Gammaproteobacteria; Enterobacterales; Enterobacteriaceae. The record is from RNAcentral.